GACGAACGCUGGCGGCGUGCUUAACACAUGCAAGUCGAACGGAAAGGCCCUGCUUUUGUGGGGUGCUCGAGUGGCGAACGGGUGAGUAACACGUGAGUAACCUGUCCUUGACUUUGGGAUAACUUCAGGAAACUGGGGCUAAUACCGGAUAGGAGCUCCUGCUGCAUGGUGGGGGUUGGAAAGUUUCGGCGGUUGGGGAUGGAAUCGCGGCUUAUCCGCUUGUUGGUGGGGUAGUGGCUUACCAAGGCUUUGACGGGUAGCCGGCCUGAGAGGGUGACCGGGCACAUUGGGACUGAGGGACGGCCCAGAAUCCUACGGGAGGCAGCAGUGGGGAAUAUGGCACAAUGGGCGGAAGCCUGAUGCAGCGACGCCGCGUGCGGGAUGACGGCCUUCGGGUGGUAAACCGCUUUCGCCUGUGACGAAGCGGGAGUGACGGUAAUGGGUAAAGAAGCACCGGCUAACUACGUG
RNAcentral lists this ribosomal RNA (468 nucleotides) under uncultured bacterium. RNAcentral describes it as "partial 16S ribosomal RNA". It matches the Rfam family "Bacterial small subunit ribosomal RNA", at positions 28 to 507 of the family's 1533-position model. The record is from RNAcentral.